CAUUCACGGAGAGUUUGAUCCUGGCUCAGGACGAACGCUGGCGGCGUGCUUAACACAUGCAAGUCGAACGAUGAACCACUUCGGUGGGGAUUAGUGGCGAACGGGUGAGUAACACGUGGGCAAUCUGCCCUGCACUCUGGGACAAGCCCUGGAAACGGGGUCUAAUACCGGAUACAACCACUGACCGCAUGGUCGGGUGGUGGAAAGCUCCGGCGGUGCAGGAUGAGCCCGCGGCCUAUCAGCUUGUUGGUGAGGUAAUGGCUCACCAAGGCGACGACGGGUAGCCGGCCUGAGAGGGCGACCGGCCACACUGGGACUGAGACACGGCCCAGACUCCUACGGGAGGCAGCAGUGGGGAAUAUUGCACAAUGGGCGAAAGCCUGAUGCAGCGACGCCGCGUGAGGGAUGACGGCCUUCGGGUUGUAAACCUCUUUCAGCAGGGAAGAAGCGAAAGUGACGGUACCUGCAGAAGAAGCGCCGGCUAACUACGUGCCAGCAGCCGCGGUAAUACGUAGGGCGCAAGCGUUGUCCGGAAUUAUUGGGCGUAAAGAGCUCGUAGGCGGCUUGUCACGUCGGUUGUGAAAGCCCGGGGCUUAACCCCGGGUCUGCAGUCGAUACGGGCAGGCUAGAGUUCGGUAG
Molecule: ribosomal RNA, 639 nt
Filed under: Streptomyces griseoaurantiacus
Lineage: Bacteria; Bacillati; Actinomycetota; Actinomycetes; Kitasatosporales; Streptomycetaceae
Description: bacterial SSU rRNA
Rfam family: Bacterial small subunit ribosomal RNA
Source: RNAcentral